UCGAGAAUCAUUCACAAUGGGGGAAACCCUGAUGGUGCGACGCCGCGUGGGGGAAUGAAGGUCUUCGGAUUGUAUACCCCUGUCAUGUGGGAGCAAAUUAAAAAGAUAGCACCACAAGAGGAAGAGACGGCUAACUCUGUGCCAGCAGCCGCGGUAAUACAGAGGUCUCAAGCGUUGUUCGGAAUCACUGGGCGUAAGGCGUGCGUAGGCGGUUUCGUAAGUCGUGUGUGAAAGGCGGGGGCUCAACCCCCGGGCUGCACAUGAUACUGCGAGACUAGAGUAAUGGAGGGGGAACCGGAAUUCUCGGUGUAGCAGUGAAAUGCGUAGAUAUCGGGGGGAACACUCGUGGCGAAGGCGGGUUCCUGGACAUUAACUGACGCUGAGGAACGAAGGCCAGGGGAGCGAAAGGG
Molecule: ribosomal RNA, 410 nt
Filed under: Acidobacteriota bacterium
Lineage: Bacteria; Pseudomonadati; Acidobacteriota
Description: Acidobacteria bacterium partial 16S ribosomal RNA
Rfam family: Bacterial small subunit ribosomal RNA
Source: RNAcentral